UACGUAGGCAGCAAGCGUUGUUCGGAAUUACUGGGCGUAAAGAGUGUGUAGGCGGUGCUCUAAGUCUGUUGUGAAAUCUCCCGGCUUAACUGGGAGGGUGCAGCGGAAACUGGAAUGCUCGAGUAUGGGAGAGGUAAGCGGAAUUCCUGGUGUAGCGGUGAAAUGCGUAGAUAUCGGGAGGAACACCGGUGGCGAAGGCGGUUCUCUGGGCCUUACCUGACGCUGAGGAGCGAAAGCGUGGGGAGCGAACAGG
RNAcentral lists this ribosomal RNA (253 nucleotides) under uncultured bacterium. Its description in RNAcentral is "partial 16S ribosomal RNA". It matches the Rfam family "Bacterial small subunit ribosomal RNA", at positions 524 to 776 of the family's 1533-position model. The record is from RNAcentral.